AAGNUGUAAGGCAACAAAGUGAAACCNCGAAAGGCUCAUUAAAUCAGUUAUGGUUCACUAGAUGGCACAAUAGACUCACGUGCGGGCAACCGCAUUCGAGCUGACUUGGAUAACUGUGGCAAUUCUAGAGCUAAUACAUGCAAAUCGAGUCCCGACCUCGACAAGCCCUCGUGGUGUAAGAUGGAAGGGAUGCUUUUAUUAGAUCAAAAACCAACGGGUCCGGGGNUUCGGCUUCGGUUCUCCAAAAGGUUCUUGGUGACUCUGGAUAAAUGUCUGCAGACCAGGCUCAGCUGAUCGCUAAGGCCUUCGUGCCGGCGACGCGUCUUUCAAAUGUCUGACUUAUCAAACUGUCGACGGCCGGCCUUUGGGCCAGCCGUGGUGAUAACGGGUAACGGGGAAUCAGGGUUCGAUUCCGGAGAGGGAGCCUGAGAAAUAGCUACCACAUCCAAGGAAGGCAGCAGGCGCGCAAAUUACCCACUCCCUGAACGGGGAGGUAGUGACGAUAAAUAACGAUGCAGAACUCUUUCCGAGGCUCUGCAAUCGGAAUGGGUAUACUCUAAACACCUUGUACGAGUAUCCACUGGAGGGCAAGUCUGG
This 597-nucleotide ribosomal RNA is filed under the name Liposcelis paeta. RNAcentral's name for it is "bacterial SSU rRNA". It matches the Rfam family "Eukaryotic small subunit ribosomal RNA", at positions 67 to 564 of the family's 1831-position model. Lineage: Eukaryota; Metazoa; Arthropoda; Insecta; Psocodea; Liposcelididae. The record is from RNAcentral.